RNAcentral lists this ribosomal RNA (253 nucleotides) under uncultured bacterium. Its description in RNAcentral is "partial 16S ribosomal RNA". It matches the Rfam family "Bacterial small subunit ribosomal RNA", at positions 524 to 776 of the family's 1533-position model. The record is from RNAcentral.
UACGUAGGGCGCAAGCGUUGUCCGGAAUUAUUGGGCGUAAAGAGCUCGUAGGCGGCUUGUCACGUCGGGUGUGAAAGCCCGGGGCUUAACCCCGGGUCUGCAUCCGAUACGGGCUAGCUAGAGUGUGGUAGGGGAGAUCGGAAUUCCUGGUGUAGCGGUGAAAUGCGCAGAUAUCAGGAGGAACACCGGUGGCGAAGGCGGAUCUCUGGGACGGUACUGACGCUGAGACGCGAAAGCGUGGGGAGCAAACAGG